RNAcentral lists this ribosomal RNA (559 nucleotides) under uncultured Actinomycetes bacterium. RNAcentral describes it as "bacterial SSU rRNA". It matches the Rfam family "Bacterial small subunit ribosomal RNA", at positions 345 to 918 of the family's 1533-position model. The record is from RNAcentral. Lineage: Bacteria; Bacillati; Actinomycetota; Actinomycetes.
GAGGCAGCAGUCAGGAAUCAAUAGCAAUCGGUGAAAGCAAGCCGCAGCAACCCCGGGUGGGGGAUGAAGGCAUUUGGGUUGUAAACUCCUUUCAGUGGGAAGGAAGAUGACGGUACCCACAGACGAAGCCCCGUCCAACUACGUUCCAGCAGCCGCGGUGAUAAGUAGGGGGCGAGCGUUGUCCGGAUUUAUUGGGCGUAAAGAAAUGGUAGGUGGCUCGGUAAGUCGGGUGUGAAACAUACAGGCUCAAUCAGGAGACGCCACCCGAUACUGCCGUGGUUAGAGUUCGGUAGGGGACCACGGAAUUCCUGGUGUAGCGGUGAAAUGCGCAGAUAUCAGGAGGAACACCAGUAGCGAAGGCGGUGGUCUGGGCCGACACUGACGCUGAGGAGCGAAAGCGUGGGGAGCGAACAGGAUUAGAUACACUGGUAGUCCACACCGUAAACGUUGGGCACUAGGUGUGGGGGCCUAUCGACGGUCUCCGUGUCGCAGCUAACGCAUUAAGCGCCCCGCCUGGGGAGUACGGCCGCAAGGUUAAAACUCAAAUGAAUUGACGGGG